This 497-nucleotide ribosomal RNA is filed under the name uncultured bacterium. Its description in RNAcentral is "partial 16S ribosomal RNA". It matches the Rfam family "Bacterial small subunit ribosomal RNA", at positions 28 to 507 of the family's 1533-position model. The record is from RNAcentral.
GAUGAACGCUGGCGGCGUGCCUAAUACAUGCAAGUCGAGCGAACAGACGAGGAGCUUGCUCCUCUGACGUUAGCGGCGGACGGGUGAGUAACACGUGGAUAACCUACCUAUAAGACUGGGAUAACUUCGGGAAACCGGAGCUAAUACCGGAUAAUAUAUUGAACCGCAUGGUUCAAUAGUGAAAGACGGUAUUGCUGUCACUUAUAGAUGGAUCCGCGCCGCAUUAGCUAGUUGGUAAGGUAACGGCUUACCAAGGCAACGAUGCGUAGCCGACCUGAGAGGGUGAUCAGCCACACUGGAACUGAGACACGGUCCAGACUCCUACGGGAGGCAGCAGUAGGGAAUCUUCCGCAAUGGGCGAAAGCUUGACGGAGCAACGCCGCGUGAGUGAUGAAGGUCUUCGGAUCGUAAAACUCUGUUAUUAGGGAAGAACAAAUGUGUAAGUAACUAUGCACGUCUUGACGGUACCUAAUCAGAAAGCCACGGCUAACUACGUG